UAUCUGUUUGAUCCCGGCAGAGGUCACUGCUAUCGGGGUUCGAUUAAGCCAUGCGAGUCGAGAGGGUUCAGACCCUCGGCGGACUGCUCAGUAACACGUGGAUAAUCUGCCCUAUGGUGGAGGAUAACCCCGGGAAACUGGGGAUUAUUCUUCAUAAGUCAGGAGUACUGGAAUGUCUCCUAACUGAAAGUUGCGGCGCCAUAGGAUGAAUCUGCGGCACCAAAGGAAGUUGUUGGGGUAACGGCCCAACAACUCUGUAAUCGGUACGGGGUUGUGGGGGCUCACGCCCCCCGGAGAUGGAAUCUGAGACACGAUUCCAGGCCCUACGGGGCGCAGCGGGCGCGAAAACUUUACAAUGCAGGAAACUGUGAUAAGGGAACCCCGAGUGCCCGUAAACGCGGGCUGUCCCGGUGUUUAAAACACAUCGGAGGAAGGGCCGGGCAAGACCGGUGCCAGCCGCGCGUAAUACCGGCGCUCGAGUGUGACCACUUUUAUGGGCUUAAAGCGUUCGUAGCUUGAUUUAGUCUCUUGAUCUCACUGCUACUGGGAGGCGUCUAGAGAUCUGGGAUCUAGGACGGGAGAGGUAGAGUACUUCAGGGUA
This 601-nucleotide ribosomal RNA is filed under the name uncultured archaeon. Its description in RNAcentral is "bacterial SSU rRNA". It matches the Rfam family "Archaeal small subunit ribosomal RNA", at positions 1 to 627 of the family's 1478-position model. The record is from RNAcentral.